UUCCGGUUGAUCCUGCCGGACCUUACUGCUAUCGGGGUGGGACUAAGACAUGCGAGUCGAGCGUCUCUAGCUAUGUUGAGACGCGGCAGACGGCUCAGUAACGCGUGGCUAACCUACCCUCAGGACGAGAAUAAACCCGGGAAACUGGGGCUAAUGCUCGAUAGGUGAGGAUGUCUGGAAUGACUUCUCAUACAAAGGGCCUUGGAAACAUGCUUUCAAGGUCGCCUGGGGAUGGGGCCGCGUCCGAUCAGGUUGUUGGUGGGGUAACGGCUCACCAAGCCUAUAACCGGUACGGGCCAUGAGAGUGGUAGCCCGGAGAUGGGUACUGAGACAAGGACCCAGGCCCUACGGGGCGCAGCAGUCGCGAAAACUCCGCAAUGCACGAAAGUGUGACGGGGCUACCCCGAGUGCCAUCCGCUGAGGAUGGCUUUUCUUUGGUAUAACUAGCCAGGGGAAUAAGGAGAGGGCAAGACUGGUGUCAGCCGCCGCGGUAAUACCAGCUCUCCGAGUGGUAGGGAUGAUUAUUGGGCUUAAAGCGUCCGUAGCCGGCUCAGUAAGUCUCCUGUUAAAUUCAGCGACCUAAUCGUUGANNNNGCGGGAGAUACUGCUAGGCUAGGAGGCGGGAGAGGUCGACGGUACUUCUGGGGUAGGGGUGAAAUCCUAUAAUCCCGGGAGGACCACCAGUGGCGAAGGCUGUCGACUAGAACGCGCUCGACGGUGAGGGACGAAAGCUGGGGGAGCGAACCGGAUUAGAUACCCGGGUAGUCCCAGCCGUAAACGAUGCGAGCUAGGUGUUGGGAUGGCUACGUGCCAUUCCAGUGCCGCAGGGAAGCCAUUAAGCUCGCCGCCUGGGGAGUACGGCCGCAAGGCUGAAACUUAAAGGAAUUGGCGGGGGAGCACCACAAGGCGUGAAGCUUGCGGUUCAAUUGGAGUCAACGCCGGG
RNAcentral lists this ribosomal RNA (943 nucleotides) under uncultured archaeon. RNAcentral's name for it is "bacterial SSU rRNA". It matches the Rfam family "Archaeal small subunit ribosomal RNA", at positions 1 to 922 of the family's 1478-position model. The record is from RNAcentral.